GACAGAGGGUGCAAGCGUUUGUUCGGAUUUAUUGGGCGUAAAGAGCGCGUAGGCGGCUUGGUAAGUCGAAUGUGAAAGCCCAAAGCUCAACUUUGGAAGUGCAUUCGAUACUGCCUCGCUUGAGUUCCGGAGAGGGUGGUGGAAUUCCCGGUGUAGUGGUGAAAUGCGUAGAUAUCGGGAGGAACACCAGUGGCGAAGGCGACUUCCUGGCCUGUUCUUGACGCUGAGGCGCGAAAGCGUGGGGAGCAAACAGG
RNAcentral lists this ribosomal RNA (254 nucleotides) under uncultured bacterium. Its description in RNAcentral is "partial 16S ribosomal RNA". It matches the Rfam family "Bacterial small subunit ribosomal RNA", at positions 524 to 776 of the family's 1533-position model. The record is from RNAcentral.